CACUGUCAUUAUCUAAAACAAUACAGAUCCCAUCAAGGCAAGUCUGGGAGGGGUUAGAAGACAAAACAUCUGUUGGUUUUGCCCCUAAUAAAAUACAUGCAUGCAUAUUGUGGUAUAUCUACUACCAGGCAUAGGCAAACAUCGGCACUCCACAACAUCUGGAGUGCCAAAGGUUGCCUAUCUCUGUUAUUUUAACUUAUUUGGACAGUGGAGUGUCCCCAUAGCUGACUAAGAGGAUAUUUUAGGUUAGGCUAUUUUGAAACUCCCUUUAAAUUCUCUUUAGUCCCUCCCCCUGAUGUCAGCACAGUACACACAGCUCUCACACAGCCGCCCUGCGACCAGGUAUGUAUGCCACUGUGGCCAGCCUCUUCUCCUGGGGGUCCCAGAAACUGGCCAUCUCAGGGCCCCCCGAGGCUGGCCC
Pelobates cultripes (western spadefoot toad) is the source of this 421-nucleotide non-coding RNA. The record is from the annotation of a GenBank genome assembly. NCBI's taxonomy places the organism in Eukaryota, Metazoa, Chordata, Amphibia, Anura, Pelobatidae.